ACGGGUGAGUAACGCGUGAGGAACCUGCCUUGGAGAGGGGAAUAACACUCCGAAAGGAGUGCUAAUACCGCAUGAUGCAGUUGGGUCGCUUGGCUCUGACUGCCAAAGAUUUACCGCUCUGAGAUGGCCUCGCGUCUGAUUAGCUAGUAGGCGGGGUAACGGCCCACCUAGGCGACGAUCAGUAGCCGGACUGAGAGGUUGACCGGCCACAUUGGGACUGAGACACGGCCCAAACUCCUACGGGAGGCAGCAUG
This 254-nucleotide ribosomal RNA is filed under the name uncultured bacterium. RNAcentral describes it as "partial 16S ribosomal RNA". It matches the Rfam family "Bacterial small subunit ribosomal RNA", at positions 102 to 353 of the family's 1533-position model. The record is from RNAcentral.